This 431-nucleotide long non-coding RNA is filed under the name Triticum aestivum (bread wheat). Its description in RNAcentral is "long non-coding RNA (TAES_LNC020283)". The record is from RNAcentral. Lineage: Eukaryota; Viridiplantae; Streptophyta; Magnoliopsida; Poales; Poaceae.
UCCUGCAAUGAAGCCACACAUCUGAGUUUAGUGGAGGGUCACUACUACAAUGGAGGACAUUUAUAACUCCAUAAUAUUGGCAUAGCAGAUGCGGGGUGAGGACAUGUACAUAAUUAUGACAAUAAUCAGUGGCUUUGUCAGUCACUUGUUCCUGUCUGCUAUUGUUUUCUCACAUUGCCUAACGUUUUUGUUGUUUGCUGUGCUUAUUAUCCCAGGUGUGGCUCUUCCAAGUUAGAUCCUGUUGGAUGUAUGGGUUUGGAUUGUAUCUAGCUUAGACCCUUUGGUAGUAAUUUUGAGGAAGUAAAUGUUAAGGAGUAUUAGUACUGGUCUAGGAGUCCUUAUUAGUCUAUGUUUAGUUUCCUUGCACCUCAAGUCAUGUGUAAUAUAUAUAUGCCCCUUGGGCCUUCAAUAAAGUUAAGUUGCUUUCCUAA